CCUACGGGGGGCAGCAGUGAGGAAUAUUGGUCAAUGGACGAGAGUCUGAACCAGCCAAGUAGCGUGAAGGAUGACUGCCCUAUGGGUUGUAAACUUCUUUUAUAUGGGAAUAAAAUGUUCCACGUGUGGGAUUUUGUAUGUACCAUAUGAAUCAGGAUCGGCUAACUCCGUGCCAGCAGCCGCGGUAAUACGGAGGAUCCGAGCGUUAUCCGGAUUUCUUGGGGUUAAAGGGCGCGUAGGUGGAUUGUUAAGUCAGUUGUGAAAGUUUGCGGCUCAACCGUAAAAUUGCAGUUGAAACGGGCAGUCUUGAGUACAGUAGGGGUGGGCGGAAUUCGUGGUGUAGCGGGGAAA
Molecule: ribosomal RNA, 351 nt
Filed under: uncultured bacterium
Lineage: Bacteria
Description: partial 16S ribosomal RNA
Rfam family: Bacterial small subunit ribosomal RNA
Source: RNAcentral